RNAcentral lists this long non-coding RNA (293 nucleotides) under Trifolium pratense (red clover). Its description in RNAcentral is "long non-coding RNA (TPRA_LNC000026)". Lineage: Eukaryota; Viridiplantae; Streptophyta; Magnoliopsida; Fabales; Fabaceae. The record is from RNAcentral.
AAGGGCAAAACUAAUAAAAAUGUAUAUGCAAUUAAAAGAAGUAAAUAUGCGCUAACUUUGUUUUCUUCUUUUUUUUUCCCCAGCACAUCUACUAGACUUGUGAUUGGCAAAUGCUUUGUUGUCGAAGACAAGCUCUUGGGUAUUGAAGAUUCUAAUUAAAGUAUGUCAAGGAUCCAACUUUAAACUUAGUUGUCAUUGGAAAGCUUAAUGUGACGUUAGAUUGCACAAUACAUUUACCUUUCCGACUGUGGAAAAAUCUUAGCAAGAAUUUGGAGAUCAUAGGUUGAUGGAUU